GUCGGGUUAAGUCCCAUAACGAGCGCAACCCUUAUCGUUAGUUGCCAUCUGGUAAAGCAGGGGACUCUAGCGAAACUGCACGUAAGGUGAGAGGAAGGUGGGGAUGACGUCAAAUCAGCACGGCCCUUAUGUCCAGGGCUACACACGUGUUACAAUGGCCGGUACAGAGGGCAGGCUACCUGGUGACAGGAUGCUAAAUCUCGAAAACCGGUCUCAGUUCGGAUCGAAGUCUGCAACUCGACUUCGUGAAGCUGGAUUCGCUAGUAAUCGCGCAUCAGCCAUGGCGCGGUGAAUACGUUCCCGGGCCUU
RNAcentral lists this ribosomal RNA (309 nucleotides) under uncultured Sphingobacteriales bacterium. RNAcentral describes it as "bacterial SSU rRNA". It matches the Rfam family "Bacterial small subunit ribosomal RNA", at positions 1074 to 1382 of the family's 1533-position model. Lineage: Bacteria; Pseudomonadati; Bacteroidota; Sphingobacteriia; Sphingobacteriales. The record is from RNAcentral.